RNAcentral lists this ribosomal RNA (949 nucleotides) under uncultured delta proteobacterium. Its description in RNAcentral is "bacterial SSU rRNA". It matches the Rfam family "Bacterial small subunit ribosomal RNA", at positions 8 to 944 of the family's 1533-position model. Lineage: Bacteria; Deltaproteobacteria. The record is from RNAcentral.
AGAGUUUGAUCCUGGCUCAGAACGAACGCUGGCGGCGUGCUUAACACAUGCAAGUCGAACGCGAAAGUUUUUCUUCGGAGAAGCGAGUAGAGUGGCGCACGGGUGAGUAACGCGUAAGUAAUCUACCCUGGUAUCAGGGAUAACUAACCGAAAGGUUGGCUAAUACCUGAUACGCUGAUUUAUCAGGAAAGGUGGCCUCUUCAUGAAAGCUACUGUACCAGGAGGAGCUUGCGUACCAUUAGCUAGUUGGUAGGGUAACGGCCUACCAAGGCGACGAUGGUUAGCGGGUCUGAGAGGAUGAUCCGCCACACUGGAACUGGAACACGGACCAGACUCCUACGGGAGGCAACAGUGAGGAAUAUUGCGCAAUGGGGGCAACCCUGACGCAGCGACGCCGCGUGGAUGAUGAAGGCCUUCGGGUCGUAAAAUCCUGUCAGAUGGAAAGAAGUGUAYAGUGGUUAAUAUCCAUUAUAUUUGACGGUACCAUCAAAGGAAGCACCGGCUAACUCCGUGCCAGCAGCCGCGGUAAUACGGAGGGUGCAAGCGUUGUUCGGAAUUACUGGGCGUAAAGCGCGCGUAGGCGGUUUGUUAUGUCAGAUGUGAAAGUCCACGGCUCAACCGUGGAAGUGCAUUUGAAACUGGCAGACUUGAGUAUUGGAGGGGGUAGUGGAAUUCCCGGUGUAGAGGUGAAAUUCGUAGAUAUCGGGAGGAAUACCGGUGGCGAAGGCGACUACCUGGCCAAAUACUGACGCUGAGGUGCGAAAGCGUGGGGAGCAAACAGGAUUAGAUACCCUGGUAGUCCACGCCGUAAACGAUGUCAACUAGGUGUUGGGGAGGUUAAUCUUCUCAUUGCCGCAGCUAACGCAUUAAGUUGACCGCCUGGGGAGUACGGUCGCAAGAUUAAAACUCAAAGAAUUGACGGGGGCCCCACAAGCGGUGGAGUAUGUGG